This 125-nucleotide ribosomal RNA is filed under the name Saimiri boliviensis boliviensis (Bolivian squirrel monkey). Lineage: Eukaryota; Metazoa; Chordata; Mammalia; Primates; Cebidae. The record is from RNAcentral.
AUCUGUGGCCAUACUACCCUGAACGCUCCCAAUCUCUCUGAUUUUGGCAGAUAAGCCGCAGGGUAGGGCCGGCCUGGUUGGGGCGUGGAUUGGAGGCUGCCUGGGAAUACCAAGGGCUGUAGACU